CAGCAGCCACGGUAAUACGUAGGUGGCGAGCGUUGUCCGGAAUUAUUGGGCGUAAAGGGAGCGCAGGCGGACAUAUAAGUCCAUCUUAAAAGUGCGGGGCUCAACCCCGUGAGGGGAUGGAAACUGUAUGCCUUGAGUGUAGGAGAGGAAAGCGGAAUUCCUAGUGUAGCGGUGAAAUGCGUAGAGAUUAGGAGGAACACCAGUGGCGAAGGCGGCUUUUUGGCCUGUAACUGACACUGAGGAGCGAAAGCGUGGGGAGCGAACAGGAUUAGAUACCCGCGUAGUCCCUGUCUCUUAUACA
RNAcentral lists this ribosomal RNA (301 nucleotides) under uncultured bacterium. RNAcentral describes it as "partial 16S ribosomal RNA". It matches the Rfam family "Bacterial small subunit ribosomal RNA", at positions 509 to 808 of the family's 1533-position model. The record is from RNAcentral.